GAAAUGCGAUAAGUAAUGUGAAUUGCAGAAUUCAGCGAAUCAUCGAAUCUUUGAACGCAUAUUGCGCCCCUUGGUAUUCCGAGGGGCGUGCCUGUUCGAGCGUCAUUUCACCCCUCAAGCUCCGCUUGGUGUUGGGCCAGCAGUCCCGGUAGAGGGACUCGCCUCGAAGGCGUCGGCGGCGUCGCCCCGUCCCAAGCGUGGUGGAAGCACAAGCUCGCUUUGGAGGUCGGGUAGGGAUACCCGCUGAACUUAA
RNAcentral lists this unclassified non-coding RNA (253 nucleotides) under uncultured Ascomycota. Its description in RNAcentral is "sequence contains ITS1". The stretch from base 1 to 105 matches the Rfam family "5.8S ribosomal RNA", at positions 50 to 154 of the family's 154-position model. The record is from RNAcentral. Lineage: Eukaryota; Fungi; Ascomycota.